Molecule: long non-coding RNA, 953 nt
Organism: Fundulus heteroclitus (mummichog)
Lineage: Eukaryota; Metazoa; Chordata; Actinopteri; Cyprinodontiformes; Fundulidae
Exons: 3
Source: RefSeq, a predicted model, not a curated record
AGAUAGUAGAAGCCCCGCAACAAGUAGGUAGACUUCUGCAAGAGGAACAGGAUGUGUCAGAAAAGCGGGCUGAGCAGGCAGCUCUGCACAGAGAACAAAGGAGUGUUUUGGAGGAGCGGAGAACGGCUGCGUCACAAAGGCUCCAAAGUCUUGUUGCUCAAAUCCAGGAGGCCAAGGAGCUGAAGUCUGCUGAGGGUGGAGCACAACCUUCAAAGCGUGCCCCUAAAAGAAGACCAAGGAAAAAAGAACUUCAUGUUUCCAGGGUGCCUUAUUUUAACUAUUGUCAUUUAUUUUCUACAUAAAAAUCUUUUGUCAAACCAAUAAAAUCUAUUUUAAAGCUACUUGGCCCAGAUUCCACCUUUCCUCUCAUUACAGAAAAAUGUUUGCAUUUUGCUUUUCAUGGACCACCAGUUAAUAAAUAGAUUUAAGUUGUGUGUGGAUUAAUUUUCUGCAUAAAGAGCAGCAGCAGAGAAAAUAUAGACAACCCUUUCCAUUUUCCACAUUUUGGUGCUAACAGGUUUAUUCUAAAACUGACUGGAUUAUAAUUUUCCCUACACAAAAAGCACACAAAAAUAAAGGAAAAUGAGCUUUAACUGUUUUGUGACUGAAAUGAAAACAUAAUGGCUGAAUAUUCACUCCCACAUCUUUGACACUGAAUUAAAUGUGAGUUAAUCUGAUUCCCACUAAUUAUUCAUAUGUUUCAGCAACUUGAUUAGUGGAUUAAACCUAAUUUAGGACCAAAUAAAGUUCUGGAAGACGUCACGGUUGACGGAGCAUAUCACAUCAGAAACAAAAGUCAAAGCAGUUGUUUGCUGACCAAAAGUGACUAAUUUUGUGUAUGGCAACAAUAUGAGAAAGACUAAAAUAAAUGUAACUGAUGAUACUGCAGCAAUCAGGACACCUCACCAACCUGUGGAGAAAGAGCCGGACAAACAACGUCUGACACAAAACAA